CCUACGGGUGGCAGCAGUGGGGAAUCUUCCGCAAUGGGCGAAAGCCUGACGGAGCAACGCCGCGUGAACGAAUGAAGGCCUUCGGGUUGUAAAGAUCUGUUAACAGGGACGAAUAAGCAAUGCGAAUAGUUUUGUGUAUGACGGUACCUGUUUAGAAAGCUCCGGCUAACUACGUGCCAGCAGCCGCGGUAAUACGUAGGGAGCAAGCGUUGUCCGGAAUUACUGGGCGUAAAGGGCGCGUAGGUGGUUGCUUAAGUCAGGUGUGAAAACUUCGGGCUCAACCGGGAGACUGCACUUGAAACUGGGUGUCUUGAGUGCAGGAGAGGAAGGUGGAAUUCGUGGUGUAGCGGUGAAAUGCGUAGAUAUUAGGAGGAACACCGGUGGCGAAGGCGACUUUCUGGACUGUACCUGACGCUGAGGCGCGAAAGCGUGGGUAGCGAACGGGAUUAGAUACCCUUGUAGUC
This 464-nucleotide ribosomal RNA is filed under the name uncultured bacterium. RNAcentral's name for it is "partial 16S ribosomal RNA". It matches the Rfam family "Bacterial small subunit ribosomal RNA", at positions 338 to 795 of the family's 1533-position model. The record is from RNAcentral.